This is a long non-coding RNA of Hypanus sabinus (Atlantic stingray), 755 nucleotides long. RefSeq lists it as uncharacterized. The transcript is spliced from 3 exons. The record is from RefSeq and is a predicted model, not a curated record. NCBI's taxonomy places the organism in Eukaryota, Metazoa, Chordata, Chondrichthyes, Myliobatiformes, Dasyatidae.
UGCUGCUUCAGCACAUACACAGAAAAUAAAUUCAGAAGAUCUUGGUGUACCUGAAUAAGUUAUCAAUCUAUCAAGGUUGUUUUGACAUAAAACAAAAAAUCUAUCAGCAGAAGUGAGGAGUCAAAAAGCCCACCGUGCUCUGGAUGAAUGGGAUUCUGUUGAAGACCCUGACGUGGAGUUACACUGAGACUUCAGUUCUUUGCGAUGGUGGGACCAACUCCUGAGGGCUCACAGCUGGCCGCUUUUUGAUAUCCCAAGAAGGUGGCCUAGAAGAUGAGUACACCUUCGAGGCUCUGAAGUUUCGUAGACCUGUGGACCUGCUAAUUCUAAACCGGUGCUGCUGAUUGAAGCGUUGCGGGAGAGAACAGAACAUCAGGAUCAGUGGUUCAGCUGUUGCAGGCAGACUGUGUAUUUGGUGAGUUGAGCUCUCUCUCUCUCUCACUGGUGGGUGAAAGAUUGUUGCCAAUUUUCGGGACACAGAACUGGGAAAAUCAAGAGGCGCAACAGACUUUUAACACCAUAGACCAGUAAGUUGUUUUGUUAUGUCUCCCCUCUCGCUGUGAAAGAGGACACCUCUUUUUCCCUUUAUUAAGGAGAGAGAGAGAGAGAGAGAGAGAGAGAGAGCGAGCCUGUGGUACUUCAAGUUGUUGGGUGAAUGACUGGUUUUAUUGUACUGUAGACCCGCACGGUCUUUAUUGGGAACUUUCCUAUUGCAUGCUUGGUGGGCAGAGCGUGCUGAUGUUCUUUUACGGAAG